GAUGAACGCUGGCGGCGUGCCUAAUACAUGCAAGUCGAGCGAACAGACGAGGAGCUUGCUCCUCUGACGUUAGCGGCGGACGGGUGAGUAACACGUGUAUAACCUACCUAUAAGACUGGGAUAACUUCGGGAAACCGGAUCUAAUACCGGAUAAUAUAUUGAACCGCAUGGUCCAAUAGUGAAAGACGGUUUUGCUGUCACUUAUAGAUGGAUCCGCGCCGCAUUAGCUAGUUGGUAAGUUAACGGCUUACCAAGGCAACGAUGCGUAGCCGACCUGAGAGGGUGAUCGGCGACACUGGAACUGAGACACGGUCCAGACUCCUACGGGAGGCAGCAGUAGGGAAUCGUCCGCAAUGGGCGAAAGCUUGACGGAGCAACGCCGCGUGAGUGAUGAAGGUCUUCGGAUCGUAAAACUCUGUUAUUAGGGAAGAACAAAUGUGUAAGUAACUAUGCACGUCUUGACGGUACCUAAUCAGAAAGCCACGGCUAACUACGUG
Molecule: ribosomal RNA, 497 nt
Filed under: uncultured bacterium
Lineage: Bacteria
Description: partial 16S ribosomal RNA
Rfam family: Bacterial small subunit ribosomal RNA
Source: RNAcentral